UCUUCAUCACCGAACGGCUCAUCUGGACCGCUUAGAGCAAAGUGAUUGAGCACAGGCCGGCACAGACGUUAUGACUGGGAACGUUAAAGGGCUUUCGUCCAAUGGCAGACUACAGCCCUGGAUCUUCAUUACUGCUAAAUUCCUCCUGAAACCCCUGAAGUCGUCCUGUCAGACAAAACAUCAGCUAAUUCACUGUUAGUGAGAAGCUUUUGGUUUCCAUUUCCCCGGCUGUUAGUGGAACAUGUGAGGAAAUGCUGCUUCUUCUGCCUCCUUGCACAUCGUCUUGUCCUGUGCUCUCUAGCAAACGUUCCCUCUGCGCCCCGCGGCAUUGAGCGGGGCAAGGAGCUUACUUUGAGGCUUGAUACCAACUGAAUGGACCUCAUGAAUACCGCUGCUUUCCACGGUCAUGGUGAAAUCUGGUCUGAAGAGAAAUGCAUGGUCAUUUCACACCUU
Long non-coding RNA from Gambusia affinis (western mosquitofish), 453 nucleotides. RefSeq lists it as uncharacterized. NCBI's taxonomy places the organism in Eukaryota, Metazoa, Chordata, Actinopteri, Cyprinodontiformes, Poeciliidae. The record is from RefSeq and is a predicted model, not a curated record. The transcript is spliced from 3 exons.